AAUUUGACAAGAAAAAUCUUUUUUCGCAUUUCGCAAAAAAAACUAUUUAAAAGCGGAAAACGCGACAUCAACAACAUAACCUUCAGAACGAAUUCUAUGUUUUAAUUCCAUAGAGAUAAACAAAUAACAUUUCUAUGAUUAUUUCUCAUGGAACACAACAAAAAUAUAUUGGUAACACUUGCGUUGACACAUAAAACUGACAUUUGAUUGUGAAGUAUGACAUAUCAAGCAACAAUUUUUUUCAAUACAAACUGUUCAAAAUGUUACUAAACGUAAUAAAAAUAUUUUAUUUGAAAUUAAGAACAAUCCGGACACUAUCACAGUAAAUAAAAUCAAAAAGUGUAGUUAAAAAUUAAUCCACUGUACCUAUCCAUAAUUAAACUAAAAAUACGAGUUACGAGCAGAAAUUUACUUAAAAUGCAGUUCCUCAUUAAAAAUAAUUUAUAUUUGUAUCAUAUCUAUAAUUAUUGUUUUAAAAAAACUGAUUUUAUUAUUAAUAAAAAGAACUCGCUGUCCUAUUUCAUCAAAAUACGUAUCUAAUUAAGUUAUUAAAUAAUUGUAAAAGAAAA
Molecule: long non-coding RNA, 569 nt
Organism: Diorhabda sublineata
Lineage: Eukaryota; Metazoa; Arthropoda; Insecta; Coleoptera; Chrysomelidae
Exons: 2
Source: RefSeq, a predicted model, not a curated record